CGCCUAACACAUGCAAGUCGAACGAGCGAGAGAGAGCUUGCUUUCUCGAGCGAGUGGCGAACGGGUGAGUAACGCGUGAGGAACCUGCCUCAAAGAGGGGGACAACAGUUGGAAACGGCUGCUAAUACCGCAUAAGCCCACAGCUCGGCAUCGAGCAGAGGGAAAAGGAGCAAUCCGCUUUGAGAUGGCCUCGCGUCCGAUUAGCUAGUUGGUGAGGUAACGGCCCACCAAGGCGACGAUCGGUAGCCGGACUGAGAGGUUGAACGGCCACAUUGGGACUGAGACACGGCCCAGACUCCUACGGGAGGCAGCAGUGGGGAAUAUUGCACAAUGGGGGAAACCCUGAUGCAGCGACGCCGCGUGGAGGAAGAAGGUCUUCGGAUUGUAAACUCCUGUUGUUGAGGAAGAUAAUGACGGUACUCAACAAGGAAGUGACGGCUAACUACGUGCCAGCAGCCGCGGUAAAACGUAGGUCACAAGCGUUGUCCGGAAUUACUGGGUGUAAAGGGAGCGCAGGCGGGAAGACAAGUUGGAAGUGAAAUCCAUGGGCUCAACCCAUGAACUGCUUUCAAAACUGUUUUUCUUGAGUAGUGCAGAGGUAGGCGGAAUUCCCGGUGUAGCGGUGGAAUGCGUAGAUAUCGGGAGGAACACCAGUGGCGAAGGCGGCCUACUGGGCACCAACUGACGCUGAGGCUCGAAAGUGUGGGUAGCAAACAGGAUUAGAUACCCUGGUAGUCCACACUGUAAACGAUGAUUACUAGGUGUUGGAGGAUUGACCCCUUCAGUGCCGCAGUUAACACAAUAAGUAAUCCACCUGGGGAGUACGACCGCAAGGUUGAAACUCAAAGGAAUUGACGGGGGCCCGCACAAGCAGUGGAGUAUGUGGUUUAAUUCGACGCAACGCGAAGAACCUUACCAAGUCUUGACAUCCUGCGACGCACAUAGAAAUAUGUGUUUCCUUCGGGACGCAGAGACAGGUGGUGCAUGGUUGUCGUCAGCUCGUGUCGUGAGAUGUUGGGUUAAGUCCCGCAACGAGCGCAACCCUUAUGGUCAGUUACUACGCAAGAGGACUCUGGCCAGACUGCCGUUGACAAAACGGAGGAAGGUGGGGAUGACGUCAAAUCAUCAUGCCCUUUAUGACUUGGGCUACACACGUACUACAAUGGCGUUAAACAAAGAGAAGCAAGACCGCGAGGUGGAGCAAAACUCAGAAACAACGUCCCAGUUCGGACUGCAGGCUGCAACUCGCCUGCACGAAGUCGGAAUUGCUAGUAAUCGCAGAUCAGCAUGCUGCGGUGAAUACGUUCCCGGGCCUUGUACACACCGCCCGUCACACCAUGAGAGCCGGGGGGACCCGAAGUCGGUAGUCUAAC
RNAcentral lists this ribosomal RNA (1373 nucleotides) under uncultured organism. Its description in RNAcentral is "SSU rRNA". It matches the Rfam family "Bacterial small subunit ribosomal RNA". The record is from RNAcentral.